Molecule: ribosomal RNA, 254 nt
Filed under: uncultured bacterium
Lineage: Bacteria
Description: partial 16S ribosomal RNA
Rfam family: Bacterial small subunit ribosomal RNA
Source: RNAcentral
UACGGGGGGAGCAAGCGUUGUUCGGAUUUACUGGGCGUAAAGGGCGCGUAGGCGGCCAGCACAGGUCGGUUGUGAAAUCUCCGGGCUUAACUCGGAAAGGUCAACCGAUACUGUGCGGCUAGAGUGCGGAAGGGGCAACUGGAAUUCUCGGUGUAGCGGUGAAAUGCGCAGAUAUCAGGAGGAACACCGGUGGCGAAGGCGGUUCUCUGGGCCUGUUCUGACGCUGAGGAGCGAAAGCGUGGGGAGCGAACAGG